Molecule: ribosomal RNA, 512 nt
Filed under: uncultured bacterium
Lineage: Bacteria
Description: partial 16S ribosomal RNA
Rfam family: Bacterial small subunit ribosomal RNA
Source: RNAcentral
GAUGAACGCUGGCGGCGUGCCUAAUACAUGCAAGUCGAACGAAACUUCUUUAUCACCGAGUGCUUGCACUCACCGAUAAAGAGUUGAGUGGCGAACGGGUGAGUAACACGUGGGCAACCUGCCCAAAAGAGGGGGAUAACACUUGGAAACAGGUGCUAAUACCGCAUAACCAUAGUUACCGCAUGGUAACUAUGUAAAAGGUGGCUAUACUACCGCUUUUGGAUGGGCCCGCGGCGCAUUAGCUAGUUGGUAGGGUAAAGGCUUACCAAGGCAAUGAUGCGUAGCCGAAUUGAGAGGUUGAUCGGCCACCUUGGGACUGAGACACGGCCCAAACUCCUACGGGAGGCAGCAGUAGGGAAUCUCCCACAAUGGGCGAAAGCCUGAUGGAGCAACGCCGCGUGGGUGAAGAAGGUCUUCGGAUCGUAAAACCCUGUUGUUAGAGAAGAAAGUGCGUGAGAGUAACUGUUCACGUUUCGACGGUAUCUAACCAGAAAGCCACUGCUAACUACGUG